UACGGAGGAUCCGAGCGUUAUCCGGAUUUAUUGGGUUUAAAGGGUGCGUAGGCGGCUUUUUAAGUCAGCGGUGAAAUUUUGCAGCUUAACUGUAACAGUGCCGUUGAUACUGGGGAGCUAGGAUUUGGUUGCUGUGGGUGGAAUGUGUGGUGUAGCGGUGAAAUGCUUAGAUAUCACACAGAAUAUCGAUUGCGAAGGCAGCUCACAAAGCCAAGAUUGACGCUGAGGCACGAAAGUGUGGGGAUCAAACAGGAUUAGA
This 259-nucleotide ribosomal RNA is filed under the name uncultured prokaryote. RNAcentral's name for it is "partial 16S ribosomal RNA". It matches the Rfam family "Bacterial small subunit ribosomal RNA", at positions 524 to 782 of the family's 1533-position model. The record is from RNAcentral.